Molecule: ribosomal RNA, 490 nt
Filed under: uncultured bacterium
Lineage: Bacteria
Description: partial 16S ribosomal RNA
Rfam family: Bacterial small subunit ribosomal RNA
Source: RNAcentral
AUUGAACGCUGGCGGCAGGCCUAACACAUGCAAGUCGAACGGUAACAGGAAGAAGCUUGCUUCUUUGCUGACGAGUGGCGGACGGGUGAGUAAUGUCUGGGAAACUGCCUGAUGGAGGGGGAUAACUACUGGAAACGGUAGCUAAUACCGCAUAACGUCGCAAGACCAAAGAGGGGGACCUUCGGGCCUCUUGCCAUCGGAUGUGCCCAGAUGGGAUUAGCUAGUAGGUGGGGUAACGGCUCACCUAGGCGACGAUCCCUCGCUGGUCUGAGAGGAUGACCAGCCACACUGGAACUGAGACACGGUCCAGACUCCUACGGGAGGCAGCAGUGGGGAAUAUUGCACAAUGGGCGCAAGCCUGAUGCAGCCAUGCCGCGUGUAUGAAGAAGGCCUUCGGGUUGUAAAGUACUUUCAGCGGGGAGGAAGGGAGUAAAGUUAAUACCUUUGCUCAUUGACGUUACCCGCAGAAGAAGCACCGGCUAACUCCGUG